This 22-nucleotide microRNA is filed under the name Drosophila pseudoobscura. Its description in RNAcentral is "dps-miR-2552-5p". The record is from miRBase by way of RNAcentral. Lineage: Eukaryota; Metazoa; Arthropoda; Insecta; Diptera; Drosophilidae.
UGAGGUCAAAUUGAACGCAUUU